AACGAACGCUGGCGGCAUGCCUAACACAUGCAAGUCGAACGAGAUCUUCGGGUCUAGUGGCGCACGGGUGCGUAACGCGUGGGAAUCUGCCCUUUGGUUCGGAAUAACAGGUGGAAACGACUGCUAUUACCGGAUGAUGACGAAAGUCCAAAGAUUUAUCGCUAGAGGAUGAGCCGGGGUAGGAUUAGCGAGUUGGUGUGGUAAAGGCGCGCCAAGGCGACGAUCCUUAGCUGGUCGGAGAGGAUGAUCAGCCACACUGGUACGGAGACACGGCCCAGACUCCUACGGGAGGCAGCAGUGGAGAAUAUUGGACAAUGGGCGAAAGCCUGAUCCAGCAAUGCGGGUUGAGUGGUGAAGGCCUUAGGGUUGUAAAGCUCUUUUACCCGGGAUGAUAAUGACAGUACCGGGAGAAUAAGCUCCGGCUAACUCCGUGCCAGCAGCCGCCGCCG
Molecule: ribosomal RNA, 449 nt
Filed under: uncultured bacterium
Lineage: Bacteria
Description: partial 16S ribosomal RNA
Rfam family: Bacterial small subunit ribosomal RNA
Source: RNAcentral